This 69-nucleotide transfer RNA is filed under the name Glypthelmins quieta. Its description in RNAcentral is "tRNA-Trp". Lineage: Eukaryota; Metazoa; Platyhelminthes; Trematoda; Plagiorchiida; Plagiorchiidae. The record is from RNAcentral.
CAAUGGGUUAGGUUAUUAUGGACUGUCUGUUUUCAAAACAGGAGGUGGGGCUUUGGGCCCAUCCAUUGU